This 262-nucleotide ribosomal RNA is filed under the name uncultured bacterium. Its description in RNAcentral is "partial 16S ribosomal RNA". It matches the Rfam family "Bacterial small subunit ribosomal RNA", at positions 334 to 610 of the family's 1533-position model. The record is from RNAcentral.
UUGACCUACGGGACGCAGCAGUGGGGAAUAUUGGACAAUGGGGGGAACCCUGAUCCAGCGACGCCGCGUGAGUGAAGAAGUAUUUCGGUAUGUAAAGCUCUAUCAGCAGGGAAGAAAGAAAUGACGGUACCUGACUAAGAAGCCCCGGCUAACUACGUGCCAGCAGCCGCGGUAAUACGUAGGGGGCAAGCGUUAUCCGGAUUUACUGGGUGUAAAGGGAGCGUAGACGGCGAUGCAAGUCUGAAGCGACAGGCGGGGUCCC